This 369-nucleotide ribosomal RNA is filed under the name uncultured bacterium. RNAcentral's name for it is "bacterial SSU rRNA". It matches the Rfam family "Bacterial small subunit ribosomal RNA", at positions 527 to 896 of the family's 1533-position model. The record is from RNAcentral.
GUAGGGUGCAAGCAUUAAUCGGAAUUACUGGGCGUAAAGCGUGCGCAGGCGGUUUUGUAAGUCUGUCGUGAAAUCCCCGGGCUCAACCUGGGAAUUGCGAUGGAGACUGCAAGGCUAGAAUCUGGCAGAGGGGGGUAGAAUUCCACGUGUAGCAGUGAAAUGCGUAGAGAUGUGGAGGAACACCGAUGGCGAAGGCAGCCCCCUGGGUCAAGAUUGACGCUCAUGCACGAAAGCGUGGGGAGCAAACAGGAUUAGAUACCCUGGUAGUCCACGCCCUAAACGAUGUCAACUAGGUGUUGGGAGCGCAAGUUCUUGGUACCGCAGCUAACGCGUGAAGUUGACCGCCUGGGGAGUACGGUCGCAAGAUUA